RNAcentral lists this small nucleolar RNA (147 nucleotides) under Mesitornis unicolor (brown roatelo). Lineage: Eukaryota; Metazoa; Chordata; Aves; Mesitornithiformes; Mesitornithidae. The record is from RNAcentral.
CUUCGGUGAUGAUAAGAUGACGAGUCAGAAGCAGGUGGCUCUUGCUGCUGUACUUCUGCAGUGUCAUGUUCUGUGAUGCUGUGUGUGGCUCUUCAGCAAGAGCUUUCUGUCAUCACUGGAUGAUUUAGAGGCAUUUGUCUGAGAAGG